UACAGGAAGGACGAGCGUUAUUCAUCAUUAUUAGGUGUAAAAAAGUGCGUAGGCAGUGUUUACUUAUCAAUUUUUUCUUGUAGACGUUAUGGUCGUUUCGAAUCAUUUAGGUAAACAAAAGAGUGCGGUGGAGGUGGGUGUUAAUUGCUGAAAAAAGGGGUGAAAAUCCGAUGAAAUCAGUAGGAAGGCUAGUUGCGAAGGCAAUUUUUCCACGCCGCUCUGUCGUUGAGGCACGAAGGUCUGGGUAUCAAACGGGG
This 257-nucleotide ribosomal RNA is filed under the name uncultured bacterium. Its description in RNAcentral is "partial 16S ribosomal RNA". It matches the Rfam family "Bacterial small subunit ribosomal RNA", at positions 524 to 777 of the family's 1533-position model. The record is from RNAcentral.